Molecule: ribosomal RNA, 492 nt
Filed under: uncultured bacterium
Lineage: Bacteria
Description: partial 16S ribosomal RNA
Rfam family: Bacterial small subunit ribosomal RNA
Source: RNAcentral
GAUGAACGCUGGCUACAGGCUUAACACAUGCAAGUCGAGGGGAAACGGCAUUGAGUGCUUGCACUGAAUGGACGUCGACCGGCGCACGGGUGAGUAACGCGUAUCCAACCUUCCCGUUACUGCGGGAUAACCUGCCGAAAGGCAGACUAAUACCGCAUGUUCUUCGAUGACGGCAUCAGAUUCGAAGCAAAGAUCCGUCGGUAACGGAGGGGGAUGCGUCUGAUUAGCUAGUUGGCGGGGCGACGGCCCACCAAGGCGACGAUCAGUAGGGGUUCUGAGAGGAAGGUCCCCCACAUUGGAACUGAGACACGGCCCAAACACCUACGGGAGGCAGCAGUGAGGAAUAUUGGUCAAUGGGCGGAAGCCUGAACCAGCCAAGUAGCGUGCAGGAUGACGGCCCUACGGGUUGUAAACUGCUUUUAUGCGGGGAUAAAGUGAGGGACGCGUCCCUUUUUGCAGGUACCGCAUGAAUAAGGACCGGCUAAUUCCGUG